This 1501-nucleotide ribosomal RNA is filed under the name uncultured bacterium. Its description in RNAcentral is "bacterial SSU rRNA". It matches the Rfam family "Bacterial small subunit ribosomal RNA". The record is from RNAcentral.
GAGUUUGAUCAUGGCUCAGGACGAACGCUGGCGGCGUGCCUAAUACAUGCAAGUAGAACGCUGAAGAGAGGAGCUUGCUCUUCUUGGAUGAGUUGCGAACGGGUGAGUAACGCGUAGGUAACCUGCCUUGUAGCGGGGGAUAACUAUUGGAAACGAUAGCUAAUACCGCAUAACAAUGGAUGACACAUGUCAUUUAUUUGAAAGGGGCAAUUGCUCCACUACAAGAUGGACCUGCGUUGUAUUAGCUAGUAGGUGAGGUAAUGGCUCACCUAGGCGACGAUACAUAGCCGACCUGAGAGGGUGAUCGGCCACACUGGGACUGAGACACGGCCCAGACUCCUACGGGAGGCAGCAGUAGGGAAUCUUCGGCAAUGGGGGCAACCCUGACCGAGCAACGCCGCGUGAGUGAAGAAGGUUUUCGGAUCGUAAAGCUCUGUUGUAAGUCAAGAACGGGUGUGAGAGUGGAAAGUUCACACUGUGACGGUAGCUUACCAGAAAGGGACGGCUAACUACGUGCCAGCAGCCGCGGUAAUACGUAGGUCCCGAGCGUUGUCCGGAUUUAUUGGGCGUAAAGCGAGCGCAGGCGGUUUGAUAAGUCUGAAGUUAAAGGCUGUGGCUCAACCAUAGUUCGCUUUGGAAACUGUCAAACUUGAGUGCAGAAGGGGAGAGUGGAAUUCCAUGUGUAGCGGUGAAAUGCGUAGAUAUAUGGAGGAACACCGGUGGCGAAAGCGGCUCUCUGGUCUGUAACUGACGCUGANGCUNGAAAGCGUGGGGAGCGAACAGGANUAGAUACCCUGGUAGUCCACGCCGUAAACGAUGAGUGCUAGGUGUUGGAUCCUUUCCGGGAUUCAGUGCCGCAGCUAACGCAUUAAGCACUCCGCCUGGGGAGUACGACCGCAAGGUUGAAACUCAAAGGAAUUGACGGGGGCCCGCACAAGCGGUGGAGCAUGUGGUUUAAUUCGAAGCAACGCGAAGAACCUUACCAGGUCUUGACAUCCCGAUGCUAUUUCUAGAGAUAGAAAGUUACUUCGGUACAUCGGUGACAGGUGGUGCAUGGUUGUCGUCAGCUCGUGUCGUGAGAUGUUGGGUUAAGUCCCGCAACGAGCGCAACCCCUAUUGUUAGUUGCCAUCAUUCAGUUGGGCACUCUAGCGAGACUGCCGGUAAUAAACCGGAGGAAGGUGGGGAUGACGUCAAAUCAUCAUGCCCCUUAUGACCUGGGCUACACACGUGCUACAAUGGUUGGUACAACGAGUUGCGAGUCGGUGACGGCGAGCUAAUCUCUUAAAGCCAAUCUCAGUUCGGAUUGUAGGCUGCAACUCGCCUACAUGAAGUCGGAAUCGCUAGUAAUCGCGGAUCAGCACGCCGCGGUGAAUACGUUCCCGGGCCUUGUACACACCGCCCGUCACACCACGAGAGUUUGUAACACCCGAAGUCGGUGAGGUAACCUUUUGGAGCCAGCCGCCUAAGGUGGGACAGAUGAUUGGGGUGAAGUCGUAACAA